CAGUCGCCACGGGAACACGGAGGGUGCAAGCGUUAUCCGGAUUUAUUGGGUUUAAAGGGUCCGUAGGCGGAUCUGUAAGUCAGUGGUGAAAUCUCACAGCUUAACUGUGAAACUGCCAUUGAUACUGCAGGUCUUGAGUAAAUUUGAAGUGGCUGGAAUAAGUAGUGUAGCGGUGAAAUGCAUAGAUAUUACUUAGAACACCAAUUGCGAAGGCAGGUCACUAAGAUUUAACUGACGCUGAUGGACGAAAGCGUGGGGAGCGAACAGGAUUAGAUACCCCCGUAGUCCCUGUCUCUUAUAC
This 301-nucleotide ribosomal RNA is filed under the name uncultured bacterium. RNAcentral describes it as "partial 16S ribosomal RNA". It matches the Rfam family "Bacterial small subunit ribosomal RNA", at positions 509 to 807 of the family's 1533-position model. The record is from RNAcentral.